GUAAGUUGUGUUUUGUUAUUAAUGGUGAAGAGCUGCUGUUUGGUGUGAUGCUGAUCUUCUGCGGGAGGAUGGAGCUACACUGAGGGAUGGAGGGAUAGAGUAAUGGAGAGAUGGAGUGAUGGUGAGAGAUGGUGAGAGAAUGGAGCUCUGUGCUUUCUUAAAUUAUAAUUCAACCGAUUUAUAAAACCAUCAAAUAUUACAUUCCUUAAACAUCUCCAGCUUUAAUUCAGAAACACUAACUGUAUUUGCUGUAUUAGUAUGUUUUUGUUUAGAUGUAAUUAGUUAGUUUGUUAAUGCUAGUUGCUGUUUUUAGUGUUUUGCAUUAAAAUUACCCAUGUUUUCUCUCUCUCUUUUUUAUCUCCUGCAGAAACUUUGCCAUCUUUUCUCUUGUUUCUAGUGUUCUUUUGAAAAUACAACACUAUGCACGGAUAUAAACGCCGCAUAGAGGAACUUUACUGAAAUCCACUCCUAUUUACUGAGGAUGGAGCUUCACUGAGAGAUAGAAAGAUGCUGAGAAUGGUGAAUGAUGGAAUGUUCCAAGUCUGGCUCUGAUUCUACUCUUCUUCUCUCCAUUCCAUCAAUAAGAGGAACACUGCUCUAAUUAAGGGAAGUUUAUUGUUGAGAGAAG
RNAcentral lists this long non-coding RNA (628 nucleotides) under Astyanax mexicanus (Mexican tetra). RNAcentral's name for it is "lncRNA (ENSAMXG00005006129.1)". The record is from RNAcentral. Lineage: Eukaryota; Metazoa; Chordata; Actinopteri; Characiformes; Acestrorhamphidae.